CAGUAGCCACGGGAAAACGGAGGGUGCAAGCGUUAAUCGGAAUUACUGGGCGAAAAGCGUGCGUAGGUGGUGGUUUAAGUCCGUUGUGAAAGCCCUGGGCUCAACCUGGGAAUUGCAGUGGAUACUGGGUCACUAGAGUGUGGUAGAGGAUAGUGGAAUUUCCGGUGUAGCAGUGAAAUGCGUAGAGAUCGGAAGGAACAUCUGUGGCGAAGGCGACUAUCUGGGCCAACACUGACACUGAGGCACGAAAGCGUGGGGAGCAAACAGGAUUAGAGACCCCUGUAGUCCCUGUCUCUUAUAA
RNAcentral lists this ribosomal RNA (301 nucleotides) under uncultured bacterium. RNAcentral describes it as "partial 16S ribosomal RNA". It matches the Rfam family "Bacterial small subunit ribosomal RNA", at positions 509 to 809 of the family's 1533-position model. The record is from RNAcentral.